CAGAGUUAAGGAGGCAGAGCCCCGAUGCACACCUUGCUGGGCCAAAGCUGCAGAAGGCUUCCGCACCUCCAGCCCACAGGGACCAGCCACUGACCCUGGACAAGCCAGCCCUGGCUACCUGCACUCAGGAAUAGGAGUCGGAUGCCCUUGUCACAGAGACAGCUCUUCUCAUUUCUCUCACAAAACCCACUGACAUCCAGAUGAAGCAGGGUCUCAUAUGGCCUCGGCUGGCUACAAACUCACUGUGUACGUGAGGACGGCCGUAAGUCUGAUCUUACUUCUGGGGUCCUGGAAUCGCAGGUACACACCACCACUCCUCGCUUGGUUCUUUUCAUCUGCUGUGAAUUUCUCCUCAAUUGAAAAGAAGAUAAGCCCAGCCCACCCUCUCUCCCCAGUGACCUCCAUACUAAGCUGACUGUCCAGACCUGGACACAGACGCCAGGAACUUUGAGAGCCCUGCUGCUGAUUUCUUGGGUGCAUGUCCCAAGAUGCUGUAAGUGAACUCAGUUUCCUUUAUUCAACACUGUGUACUGCUGGAACAUCCUGUGAAGUGGACAGACGAUCGUCCUCCUCUUCUCAGGAACACUCCGGAAUCCAUGACCAUGUUAUACUGAGUAGUCGUUAAUCUUCCUUGUUAACUUAAUGGGAUUUAGAGUCACAUGGAAACACGUCCCUGGGUGUGUCUGUGAGGGUGUGAGGACGUUUCCAGAAAGAUUUAACUGAGGUGGAGACCCAUCCUGAAUGUGGGCAGCUCCAUCCCUUGGACUGGGGUUCUGUACUGAAGAAAAAGGAGAAAUGGAGCUGUGCAGCAGCCUUUAUCUCUCGGCUUCCUGACCGCAGAUGCAACUCAAACUGCCCUUCUACCACCGCGAUGAACUGUACCCUCAAAUGAUGAGGCAAAACAAACCUUCCUUUCCCUAAAUUCCUUAUUGUCAGGGAUGUGGGCACAGUAAUAAGAAAGGUAACUCAGAUGCCUUUAUGGCAGGAGGGUUCGGGGGGGCUGAGGUGGAGACGGUCCUGGGUCAUCUGGGGCCAAUGCCCUCACAGGGUCCUUAUUGGGGGGAGGACAGUUAGCAAUAUGGGGAGUACUGGCUUUGUAUGGAAGGGCCCAGGAGCAGAGGGUCGUACAGCUCUAGAAGCUGGAGAAGGAGGGGCAUGGACUCCCUGCAUCCCACAGAAGGACUCAGCCAGCAUCAGAGUCCUUCAACUUCCAGCCUGUAAGAAAGUGAACUAAAAAUCAA
This is a long non-coding RNA of Nannospalax galili (Upper Galilee mountains blind mole rat), 1241 nucleotides long. RefSeq lists it as uncharacterized. The transcript is spliced from 3 exons. NCBI's taxonomy places the organism in Eukaryota, Metazoa, Chordata, Mammalia, Rodentia, Spalacidae. The record is from RefSeq and is a predicted model, not a curated record.